This 253-nucleotide ribosomal RNA is filed under the name uncultured microorganism. RNAcentral's name for it is "partial 16S ribosomal RNA". It matches the Rfam family "Bacterial small subunit ribosomal RNA", at positions 524 to 776 of the family's 1533-position model. The record is from RNAcentral.
UACGUAUGUCCCGAGCGUUAUCCGGAUUUAUUGGGCGUAAAGCGAGCGCAGACGGUUGAUUAAGUCUGAUGUGAAAGCCCGGAGCUCAACUCCGGAAUGGCAUUGGAAACUGGUUAACUUGAGUGUUGUAGAGGUAAGUGGAACUCCUUGUGUAGCGGUGGAAUGCGUAGAUAUAUGGAAGAACACCAGUGGCGAAGGCGGCUUACUGGACAACAACUGACGUUGAGGCUCGAAAGUGUGGGUAGCAAACAGG